UGGCUCAGUGGUAAAGCACUUGCCUUGCAUGCAUGAGGACCUGGGUUCAAUUCCCCAG
This 58-nucleotide transfer RNA is filed under the name Dipodomys ordii (Ord's kangaroo rat). It matches the Rfam family "tRNA", at positions 8 to 63 of the family's 71-position model. From Rfam's summary of the family: Transfer RNA (tRNA) molecules are approximately 80 nucleotides in length. Their secondary structure includes four short double-helical elements and three loops (D, anti-codon, and T loops). The record is from Rfam by way of RNAcentral. Lineage: Eukaryota; Metazoa; Chordata; Mammalia; Rodentia; Heteromyidae.